CAACGAUUAAAAUUGAUGAAAUUCGGAAGAUAAAUAAGUAAAUCUCACACGAUUAGAUUUCAAGAUCCGAUUGUAAUACAUAAUUAAAAAUACGUGUGCCUAAUUAUGGUUCUAUUAUUCGCCGAAAGAGCAGUCGUGACGGAAAAACUGACAUAGCCGAGGUGAGAAAUUAAGACGGGCAGUUUAGAAGCGAACGUUGGAAAUCAAUUACGCUAUAUUUAAAAACGAAUUAAAAAUAAAGACGAGAUGAUUCCGAACCUCCAUAAUUCGCCGAUAUAGAAAACGGAAAAAAAAAAAAAAAAAAAAAACGAAAUGUCCAAUAAUACCGCGAACGACUCCUCGGUUAUACUUGUCGACAAAAUCGAUAUUUUCCUGAAGACGAUUUCUCCGCGACGACCAGUGGAUGUUUAACGCCGA
Molecule: non-coding RNA, 417 nt
Organism: Cinara cedri
Lineage: Eukaryota; Metazoa; Arthropoda; Insecta; Hemiptera; Aphididae
Source: the annotation of a GenBank genome assembly